RNAcentral lists this ribosomal RNA (497 nucleotides) under uncultured bacterium. Its description in RNAcentral is "partial 16S ribosomal RNA". It matches the Rfam family "Bacterial small subunit ribosomal RNA", at positions 28 to 507 of the family's 1533-position model. The record is from RNAcentral.
GAUGAACGCUGGCGGCGUGCCUAAUACAUGCAAGUCGAGCGAACAGACGAGGAGCUUGCUCCUCUGACGUUAGCGGCGGACGGGUGAGUAACACGUGGAUAACCUACCUAUAAGACUGGGAUAACUUCGGGAAACCGGAGCUAAUACCGGAUAAUAUAUUGAACCGCAUGGUUCAAUAGUGAAAGACGGUUUUGCUGUCACUUAUAGAUGGAUCCGCGCCGCAUUAGCUAGUUGGUAAGGUAACGGCUUACCAAGGCGACGAUGCGUAGCCGACCUGAGAGGGUGAUCGGCCACACUGGAACUGAGACACGGUCCAGACUCCUACGGGAGGCAGCAGUAGGGAAUCUUCCGCAAUGGGCGAAAGCUUGACGGAGCAACGCCGCGUGAGUGAUGAAGGUCUUCGGAUCGUAAAACUCUGUUAUUAGGGAAGAACAAAUGUGUAAGUAACUCUGCACGUCUUGACGGUACCUAAUCAGAAAGCCACGGCUAACUACGUG